Molecule: ribosomal RNA, 487 nt
Filed under: uncultured bacterium
Lineage: Bacteria
Description: partial 16S ribosomal RNA
Rfam family: Bacterial small subunit ribosomal RNA
Source: RNAcentral
AGAGUUUGAUCAUGGCUCAGGAUGAACGCUGGCGGCGUGCUUAACACAUGCAAGUCGAACGGUCGCAAGACAGUGGCGCACGGGUGAGGAACACGUAGCUGACCUGCCUUCGAGCGCGGGACAACGUACCGAAAGGGACGCUAAUACCGCAUAACCUCAUCACAACUAGAGGGUGAUGAGCAAAGGGUUUACUCGCUUGAAGAGGGGGCUGCGGCCUAUCAGGUAGUUGGUGGGGUAACGGCUCACCAAGCCGACGACGGGUAGGGGGUCUGAGAGGAUGACCCCCCACACUGGGACUGAGACACGGCCCAGACUCCUACGGGAGGCAGCAGUGAGGGAUAUUGCACAAUGGGGGAAACCCUGAUGCAGCGACGCCGCGUGGGUGAUGACGGGCUUCGGCUUGUAAAACCCUUUUUGGCAUGACGAGAACGGACGGUAGUGCCAGAAUAAGCCUCGGCUAACUACGUGCCAGCCGCCGCGGUAAUUC